ACUCAAAGGAAUUGACGGGGACCCGCACAAGCAGCGGAGCGUGUGGUUUAAUUCGACGCAACGCGCAGAACCUUACCCAGGUUGGACUUGCAGCUGCACGCCGACCAACGUCGGUAGCCUUCGAGGGUGCUGCACAGAUGCUGCAUGGCUGUCGUCAGCUCGUGUCGUGAGAUGUUGGGUUCAGUCCCGCAACGAGCGCAACCCCUGCGACCAGUUACUCGUGUCUGGUCGGACUGCCCUUCGGGGAGGAAGGCGGGGAUGAUGUCAAGUCCGCAUGGCUCUUACACCUGGGGCGACACACACGCUACAAUGGGACGGACAGAGCGCUGCCACCGCGCAAGCGGGCGCGAAUCGCCAACCCGUUCCCCAGUGCAGAUCGGGGGCUGCAACUCGCCCCCGUGAAGGCGGAGUUGCUAGUAACCGCGUAUCAGCCAUGGCGCGGUGAAUACGUACCCGGGUCUUGUACACACCGCCCGU
This 477-nucleotide ribosomal RNA is filed under the name uncultured bacterium. RNAcentral's name for it is "partial 16S ribosomal RNA". It matches the Rfam family "Bacterial small subunit ribosomal RNA", at positions 899 to 1397 of the family's 1533-position model. The record is from RNAcentral.